GAGUUAUUUUUUCUUUUUCUUUUGCAGCAAAUUUUUACAACUUUUUUGGUUUAAAUUACCUUGUGAGGGUCACCUAUCCCGGAGUUUUCUUUUUCUUUAUUUAUUGCACUGGAUCAUUCACUUGUGCUCAUCGGUCCCCUACGUAGAGCAUGCUUAGGCUAGAGCUGACUGCUAGAAUAAACUACUGAGGACAAUACUGAAA
Molecule: long non-coding RNA, 202 nt
Filed under: Lathyrus oleraceus (garden pea)
Lineage: Eukaryota; Viridiplantae; Streptophyta; Magnoliopsida; Fabales; Fabaceae
Description: Pisum sativum (pea) long non-coding RNA (PSAT_LNC034211)
Source: RNAcentral